GACGAACGCUGGCGGCGUGCUUAACACAUGCAAGUCGAACGAUGAAGCUAGAGCUUGCUCUGGUGAAUUAGUGGCGAACGGGUGAGUAACACGUGAGUAACCUGCCCCGAACUCUGGGAUAACUGCUGGAAACGGUAGCUAAUACUUGAUACGACCUACGAAGGCAUCUUCUGUAGGUGGAAAGAAUUUCGGUUCGGGAUGGACUCGCGGCCUAUCAGCCUGUUGGUGAGGUAAGGGCUCACCAAGGGGACGACGGGUAGCCGGCCUGAGAGGGUAACCGGACAAACGUGGACUGGGACACGGCCCAGACCCCUGCGGGAGGAAGCAGUGGGGGAUAUUGCACAAUGGGCGGAAGCCUGAUGCAGCAACGCCGCGUGAGGGAUGACGGCCUUCGGGUUGUAAACCUCUUUUAGUAGGGAAGAAGCGAAAGUGACGGUACCUGCAGAAAAAGCACCGGCUAACUACGUGCCAGCCGCCGCAGUAA
Molecule: ribosomal RNA, 484 nt
Filed under: uncultured bacterium
Lineage: Bacteria
Description: partial 16S ribosomal RNA
Rfam family: Bacterial small subunit ribosomal RNA
Source: RNAcentral